This 69-nucleotide transfer RNA is filed under the name Pseudohynobius flavomaculatus (yellow-spotted salamander). RNAcentral describes it as "tRNA-Thr". It matches the Rfam family "tRNA". From Rfam's summary of the family: Transfer RNA (tRNA) molecules are approximately 80 nucleotides in length. Their secondary structure includes four short double-helical elements and three loops (D, anti-codon, and T loops). Further hydrogen bonds mediate the characteristic L-shaped molecular structure. tRNAs have two regions of fundamental functional importance: the anti-codon, which is responsible for specific mRNA codon recognition, and the 3' end, to which the tRNAs corresponding amino acid is attached (by aminoacyl-tRNA synthetases). tRNAs cope with the degeneracy of the genetic code in two manners: having more than one tRNA (with a specific anti-codon) for a particular amino acid; and 'wobble' base-pairing, i.e. permitting non-standard base-pairing at the 3rd anti-codon position. Lineage: Eukaryota; Metazoa; Chordata; Amphibia; Caudata; Hynobiidae. The record is from RNAcentral.
AUUUAGGUAGCUUAACCAAAGCAUCGGUCUUGUAAACCGAAGAAUGAGAUAUAACCCUCUCCCUAAAUA